RNAcentral lists this long non-coding RNA (635 nucleotides) under Phoenix dactylifera (date palm). RNAcentral describes it as "long non-coding RNA (PDAC_LNC020246)". The record is from RNAcentral. Lineage: Eukaryota; Viridiplantae; Streptophyta; Magnoliopsida; Arecales; Arecaceae.
AUAGGUUGCCUGUGGCUACGAGAUCCUACUCCAUGUGCGAGAUCAUCUAAUACGUUUAUGGAUCCUACUACACGUGCAAGGUCAUUUGCAGCUGCAUCAUGUCCUCCUGAAUGACCUCGAGGAGCCCAUUCUCUAUAUGCAAUUGAAUUUUCGAGGCUCCACUAAAUCGUGCAUCGUGGUCUUUAUCUUGUGUAGCAUGCGUAUCAUCUGUCUUAUAAAAGGUGGUCUUAUGUCCACUCUCUCUGGCCAACAAACCGAUGGCCACUGGAAUUGUUACUUUUGGUUUUUGAAUCUGAGUGAACUGACUCCUCGACACUCCAUUAGGACUGCAAGGCCUUUUAUUUUUUUUAGUGUGCUUGGCAGCUGCCGUCUUACCCUUCAUGCCACUCGUUGCCUAUUUAUCCUUCGUGCCCCUCUCUGUGUAGCUAUGUUGGAAGGAUGUAUGUCGUUCUCCUAACCGAGUCAACUGGGUAGCAUGGUGGCCUCGUCUAAGCAUCUCUUGAUCAUAUUUUUAAAAGAAUGUCUCAGACAAGAAAUCAUGUGACGAUCGGCUCUCUUGUGGUUGUGACUGAUUAGCUAAAAGGAUGCGUGGAAUAUUGCUCUCUGCCCAUUGCUCUGCAUCGAUCCUAGCCUCU